AUGGUGAUCCUUUGCUUACUUGCAUUGUCUCUGUGUCUCCAUUCCUGGGGGAUUUUCUUGGACCCUACAUACCAAUAUGUAAUAUUGAUACUAAGAUGGAAGACUUGCCCAGGACUUGAGCACUUCCAAGCAUUGCCGGGCCCAGCCAGGAUCUCCAAAAUUCUAGAGAGAAGGUAUUUCUGCAGCUGACUGCAGGUUGACUUUGCUGUCAAGCCUCCAGCUAAACAAUUGAAUCAUCUUGCCAAAAUUGAAAGAACUCUGGAGUUGGUUUUAAAGGAGCUCAGUUCAAGUUUUAGAAGAUAUGAGCCUUUCCAGGGAUGUAAUGGGAAAUGUUUAACAAUUGGUCCCCUUAAAAAAUGUAUGCUGGAUAUAUUUUUAAGUGUAAUCUGUAUUAUUAACAUUUUCCCCAACACUUUUUUAAGUCGAGUCAUACAAUAAAACAAAUAAAUCAAGCA
RNAcentral lists this long non-coding RNA (455 nucleotides) under Monodelphis domestica (gray short-tailed opossum). RNAcentral's name for it is "lncRNA (ENSMODG00000039757.1)". The record is from RNAcentral. Lineage: Eukaryota; Metazoa; Chordata; Mammalia; Didelphimorphia; Didelphidae.